UGCGCAAUGGGCGAAAGCCUGACCCAGCCACGCCGCGUGAGUGAUGAAGGCCUUCGGGUUGUAAAGCUCUUUGGAGGGGGACGAAUAAGGGUUGGCUAACAUCCAGCUCGAUGACCGUACCCCUUUAACAAGCCCCGGGCUAACUCUGUGCCAGC
Molecule: ribosomal RNA, 155 nt
Filed under: uncultured bacterium
Lineage: Bacteria
Description: partial 16S ribosomal RNA
Rfam family: Bacterial small subunit ribosomal RNA
Source: RNAcentral